Molecule: unclassified non-coding RNA, 229 nt
Filed under: fungal sp.
Lineage: Eukaryota; Fungi
Description: partial internal transcribed spacer region
Rfam family: Eukaryotic small subunit ribosomal RNA (bases 1-46)
Source: RNAcentral
AAGUCGUAACAAGGUUUCCGUAGGUGAACCUGCGGAAGGAUCAUUAAUAAUUUUUUUCAUCUAAUGAUGAAUAAAAAUUAACCUUGUGUGCAAACAUUGCUUUGAAAGGAAGAAGGUGAAUACCUUCAUCCUAAAAACAAAAACACAUCAUCAAACUUUAUGUAAAAACAAAAUAUAUUUAUAAUAAAAUACAACUUUCAACAACGGAUCUCUUGGCUCUCGCAUAGAU